Molecule: long non-coding RNA, 4036 nt
Organism: Oreochromis aureus
Lineage: Eukaryota; Metazoa; Chordata; Actinopteri; Cichliformes; Cichlidae
Source: Ensembl
GUAGACAAAGGGGGACUCCACAACACAAAGCUAGAUGUGCCCUCUCAAACUUUUUUCCCCCCCUACAACCGACAGCAGCGCGCGCACAGGAAGCCGACUGCCCAGGUGGGAAUUUAAGCAAUUUAACCGGUACAGUGCUUGCUUCUGAUGGAUUAAGAAAAUAAAAAAAGAUGUGUAGAAAAAAAAACACAUGGAAGAUGUACAGAUUCACCUAUCAAGCUAUUUUUAAGAUGAAAUGAAGGAUUAAGAGACUGUUCACUUUUCUUCUGGAUGAACAUGAAGACUUAUCUUAUGAGGAUUUAGACUUCAGCAGCAGCAGCGCCAGUCGGAUUGUGUUUUAGGCACACUUGGAAAUCUAAACCUCAUGGAGAUACUUUGAGGAUUAUAAAAGAUGUGCAUGUAGAAUGCCACAAUACAAGACGCGUCCUGGGCCAAAGUCCUUGGGAUAGCAGGAUAUUGCUUUCCUGAUCCUUCUCAGCCCUCAGCAUGGGGAGUGUGGGAGUGGUGAGGUCUGGGAGAUCACGACCUUAAUUCUCUCCAAGACAGACGGUUUAAUUAACACUGGAAGAAUCCUCACUGACUCCAGACCUCUACAGUGAGAAUGUACAGGGGAAUUGGCUUGCCAAGGUCCUCUUGGCCAUAGACUGAAAUGCUGACAGACGAUGCCCAUGAAUGAUGAAUGAUGACUGGAGGUCUGUCUGGUGCCAGCAGAAUGCAUAAUACAGCAUCGAUACAGCAAUCGCAGUCCUCCUCAGCAGAAACAUGGUGCGGUUUCUGUAUCACAUUAUUGGAAGAUUUGCCCCAAGCAGGACAGCAGGACCACUCAAAGUGGAAAUCAACCGCAAUGUUGAAUGUUGUUUUGGGUUGGAGUCCUAAAUGAAGCAGCAUUACAAAGAGUUUUCUGGUGUGUCAGAGUGAGGCUCAGUGGGAAAGAUUGCUGUGUCUAGACAGGAGUGUGAGGCCAGGAUGUGCACAAGUCUGCCAGCCGUUAACCCCACAGAGGAAGUGUGCAGGAAAUGAGAUCAGCCUUAAACAGAGUGCAGCCUGAAGGCAAUUUUCAUCACUACCUCAUGCAACUGCAGUUUUGCCUGAAAACUUUUGGACCAACACAACCUGGGAAAGGUUAAGAUGAACAAAAGAGACUGCAACAGAAAGUGGAUAGAGAGUCAGUAACACCACAGCAGGAGGUGAAAGGAGGAGACCUGCAGGCAGGAAGAGAGAGGAGAGGGAAACUGUGCAAAAGUACAGCACAGAAUCGUGCCUCACAUCAGAUGGCAGCAAUGCAAAAAUGUGUGACACUGCAAAAUGAAGGCAAAGGAGAGAAAAAAAAAACAUCUGUGUGCGAUAGGGUUUAAAUCCAAUAACUGCAUGCAUGUAUGGAUCCGAGUCAUUGUUCAAAUAUUUGAGCCUUUGUGUGUGCGUGUGUGUGUGCAUGUGCACUUGCACAAUGAAUGGGGUGCCAGGCGGCAGCAGCUGGGAAUGCCUUCCUCUGUUCUCCUGUCAUCAAUAAAUGAUCAGAGUGGGCCAUCUGGAGAGAGGGAACCACCAACCACCAGGACCUGGCACUGAACGAAUGACACAGAGAAAGAAAAAGAAUGUGAGGAUAGAUCAGUGAACAGUAAGAGUAAGAGCAAGAUGGGACAGGAAGGGGGAAGUUACAUUUAAAGAACACUGGGGAGGCAAUUAAAAAGAUGAUGUGAAAAAGACCCUACAAUAUACUGGUGGAGCUCAAAAGAAAAUAGAAUAUUGUGAAAAGUUGUUUUUUCAUGAUUUAAUUCAAAAAGGCAUCAUCUCCGAUAUUCUUUUGUUUAUAUUUUUAUGAUUAUGGCUUAUAGCUCACGAAAAUCAGAAAUCAAGCAUCUUAUGUAAUUAGAAUAUUUCCAAACGGCAAUCAAAAAAAGGAUUUACUAUACUUCUGAGUAUGCUUUUUAUUCUACAGUACUUGAUUGGGUUUCUUUUACCAUGAAUUACUGGAUCAGUGCAGUGUGAUGCAGAGGCAUUCAGCUUGUGGUGUUGCUAAAAGCCAGGUUGCUUUGAUAACAGUCUUCAGCUCAUCUGUACUUUUGGGCUGAGUAUUUCACAUCUUACUCUUGUCAGUACCCUAUAAAUUGUCUGUAGGGUUCAGUCAGCUGAUCAAUUAAGCACAUUACAAUAAAAUUCACAUGACAAUAACUUGGUAAGCAAACCAUUUGGAAGUAGUUUUGGCACUGUUUGCAGGUGGUAGGUUUAAUCAAAAAGGAAACCGGCAUCGCCAUAAAGCUUUUCAACAGAUGGAAUCGUGACCUGAUCUCCUGGUAGACAGCUGUGUUGACUUUGGAUUUGAUGAAACAGAGUGAACCAACCACCACCAACACCAGCAGAUGACAUGGCACAAUAAAUCCUAACAGACUGCACAAACUUUACACUGGCAUUUCAACACUUACAUCUGUGUCUCUCUAGACUCUAGGAUCUUGAUUUUCAAAUGAAAUCAAAUUUACUUUCAUUUGAAACGAGGACUUUGGACCAUUAAGCCACAGUUUAGUUCUUUUUUUCCUUAGUCCAGCUAAGAUACUCCUGACACUGUCUGUGGUUCUGGAGUCUUUUGCCAUUACUUUUGCAACACUUGAAAGUGGCUGUGCAUGGUGGCUGUUGAUGUAUUGCAACCACCUGGGAUUCCUCUGGCCCGCCAGUAACCCCUUCACUUCCUGCCUGCUGAGAGAAAUAUCCAAGAAGAGCUCAGACUCCACUCCUCAAUUAUCAGCCAACUUUUACUACUGUAUACUUACCCCUGACCAUCACUAACCCCCCAUUUACUCUGCAGCAGAGCUUCCUGUUCAUUCCUGUAGAAAGAUACUCACUGGAGCACUUACCUUUUUCAGACUCCUGUUUUUUUUUUUUCAUUCCAAGUAGUUCUUAAAACUGUUGCUGUUCACAAGCAAAACGUGCUGUAAUGUGACUCGACAAAUUUGCACCUAGACAAAAAGAGUAAACUUCGACCACAUGUGCCAGAAGAAAAAUGCAGUUGUUUGUAGAGAUCGAAAGAACUCACACUUUUGCAUACUCAGAUACUACAUUUGACAUAAUACAUACAUAAUAUGACAUUUUCAGAGACAGAAAAUAUGCAAAGAAUAUGCAUAAAAUAAUUAGUUAAUUAAAAGUAAUUUUUUAAUGUAUUUAUUUUCACUUUUUUUUGUGACUGGAGUUAGGAGUGCCAUGGUCCUGAGUCUUUGACUUAGUAUUUUGAGUUUUAUACCCACCUGUUUCUUGGAAAGUUAUAAGAUAAUGUAAGUUCUUGUUCCUGAAUAUAUUAUGUUCUAGUGCCUCUGAGUUUGUUAUUUAAAUUUCUUGAAUUCUAGUUUCAUUAUUUUGUCUGUCUCUUAUAUGUGGUCUCUGAGUCUCUGUUUGUUUACCUCUGGUCUACCCAGUUGUGUCUCAGUGGCUGUCUGGUCUCUCUGUGUUCUGUCUCAUUUUUAGAAAAUCUUACUAAAUAAUAUUUAAAAAGCCAUGCUAUCCAAGCAUUAUGACAUUUGAAUUGAAGGAGAGUUAAUAAUUAAUCACUUAAUGGUGGAAGUAGUAUACAUUUAUCACUCUUUACAGUAGCUUAGUACAGCUCAGUACAGUACACUAUGCUGGAAGAACAUGAUAAAUAUUCAUAACAAUAGAUCCUGUUUGUAGGCUUGCAUUAGAAUCACAUGACUUUCUUUUUCUCACACUCACUGACAGUUUUCUAAAAUAUUCUAAUAUGCUGAAACUUGUAUCAGUUUUUGUUAUGUAUGUGCUACAUUUUAUUAUUAAGUAAGUUAUAAAGCUUCACAUAUACAUAUGUACACUUUUGUCUGCUAUACCCACUGGACCGCCAUACUAUUAUAAGCAGGCCCCUUUUAUUUUAACGUAAACCACAAAAGCAAAACCAUUCAUUAGCAGUCUUGCUAUCAUCCCCACAAACGUCUGUGGCCAUUUCAUUAUGUGAGCUAUAUUUUGAGCGUUUAUUUAAGAAAGCAGUUUAAUUCAUAUGUCAUAUUAAAUCAUAUUUUAUAUAUGUUACAUAUUAUAUACU